This 505-nucleotide ribosomal RNA is filed under the name Colias montium. RNAcentral describes it as "partial 16S ribosomal RNA". The stretch from base 381 to 505 matches the Rfam family "Bacterial large subunit ribosomal RNA", at positions 2473 to 2597 of the family's 2925-position model. The record is from RNAcentral. Lineage: Eukaryota; Metazoa; Arthropoda; Insecta; Lepidoptera; Pieridae.
GGGCUUGAAAAUAAGUCUACUCUGCCCACUGAAAUUAUUUAAAGGGCUGCAGUAUAUUGACUGUACAAAGGUAGCAUAAUAAAUAGUCUUUUAAUUGAAGACUUGUAUGAAUGAUUUGAUGAGAUAUAAUCUGUCUCUUUAUUAAAAUUAGAAUUUAAUUUUUUAGUUAAAAAGCUAAAAUAAUUAUAAAAGACGAGAAGACCCUAUAGAGUUUUAUAAUUUUUAUAAUUUUAAUUUUUUUAUUAAUUUUAAAUAUUAGAAUUAUAAAAUUAUUUUGUUGGGGUGAUAAAAAAAUUUAUUAAACUUUUUUUAAAAAAAAUUACAUUAAUUUAUGAAUAAUUGAUCCAUAAUUUAUGAUUAUAAGAAUAAAUUACCUUAGGGAUAACAGCGUAAUUUUUUUUUUUAGUUCUUAUAAAAAGAAAAGUUUGCGACCUCGAUGUUGGAUUAAAAUAAAAUUUAAAUGCAAAAGUUUAAAAUUUUUGAUCUGUUCGAUCAUUAAAAUCUU